Molecule: long non-coding RNA, 2479 nt
Filed under: Homo sapiens (human)
Lineage: Eukaryota; Metazoa; Chordata; Mammalia; Primates; Hominidae
Description: HSALNT0327913
Source: RNAcentral
AUUUUAGGUAUAAGCCACCAUGCCCAGCCAUGGCUCCUUUUUGUUUAACAGUCCUUACUUUGAUGGUCUCUCUUCUCACACAUUUUACUAUCAGCAACAAGAAAAAAUACACAUGAAAUAUUUAACACUUGGCCGGCAAUCUCCUUUGCUAGAUCAAUGAGUUAAUUAGGCAUUUUUUCUACUUUGUACAUAUCUGUGGAUAACAAAUUUGCUAAACUUUCUGCCAUUAUGUAACAAGGAUCUCCUUCCCUCUAGUUUCCAAGAAGAGUUUUCUAAUCUGUUAAGAUGUCACCUGCAGCCUCCUCAAAGGUUAUCUAUUAUGCUUCUAUAAAAAAUUUCUUCAAAGCUCUUCAAACUUUCAUUAACACUCUCCUCCAAGUUCUACCUUCUGUUCACUGCCAGUUUUAAAACCACACUUACAUUUUAGGUUUUUGCUAACACCCCACUUCUGAGUACCAAAAUGUAUACUGAUUUUCUAUUGCUGCAUAAUAAACUGCCCCAAAAUACAACAUGCAAAGCAAUAAAUAUUCAUUAUCUCAUGUAGUGUCUGAAGGUCAAAAAUCCGGAAGCAGCAUAGCUGAGUGGUUCUGAUUCAUUGUCUCUUGUGAAGUUAUCAGUCAAACCAUCAGCUGAGACUGUAAUCAUCUGAUGUUUUAACUAGUACCAGAGGAUACACUUUCACAUGCUAUUGGCAGGACACUUUAGUUCUUCACUAGCUGUUUAGCAGAAUACCGCACUUCCUCACCACAUGUACCUCUUCAUAGAGCUUCCUGGCUUCCUCUAAAACAAGUAAUCCAAGAGAGAAGCAGAAGCCACCAUGGUUUUUUAUGCCGUUGUUGACCUAGCCCCCAAAGUGACAUAUUAUUACACAGAUAUGUAGCCAACCUGUGGGUCACUGAUACGGUUUGGAUGUGUGUCCCCUCCAAAUCUCAUGUUGAAAUGUGAUUCUCAGUGUUGGAAGUGGGGCUGGUGAUAGGUGUUUGGUUCAUGAGGGUAGAUCCCUUAUGAAUGGCUUGGUGCUGUCUUUGUGGCAAUAAGUGAGUUCUCACUAUCUGAGUUCACACAAGAGCUGGUUGUUUAAAAGAGCCUGUCAUCUCUUUUGCUCCCUUUCUCACCAUGUGAUAUGCUGCUCCCCUUCUCUUCUGCCAUGAAGAAAAGCUUCCUGAGGCCUUCACCAGAAGCAGAUGCUGGUGCCGUGCUUCUACAGCCUGCAGAACUGUGAGCCAAAUAAAGUUCUUUCCUUUAUAAAUUACCCAGCGUCAGGUAUUGUUUUAUAGCAAUGCAGAACAGACUAACACAGACACACACACCAACCAAGUACAGUAUGAGAAGGGAUUAUUGGGUGCCAUUUUGGAGGUUGUCUACCACAGGAUUUUAUCUGUAUCAUUAUUCAAAUUUCGUUUUUGAAAAAUUUUGUAAGGGCACAUUUAUAGAAAUAUGAAUGCUUAAUAUUUGAUGAUAUUAGGGAAUUAAACCAUUUUUGUGUGAUAGUAAUUUUUAAAGAUUCCUUAUCUUUUAGAAAUACAUAUUGAAAUAUUUAGAGAUGUAGUGAUAUAAUGUCUGGGGUAUGCUUCAAGAUAAGAGUUGCAGAAAGUGGGUGGUAGUAUAAAUCAAGAUUGGUUAUGAGUUGAGAAUUUUUGAGUAAUAGGUAUAUGGGGACUAAGUAUUCUAUUCUUCAUACUUUUACAUGCCGUAAAUCCCCACUUAUCUGCAGGGAAUGUGUUCCAAGACCCCCAGUGGAUGCCUGAAACUGAGAAUAGUACUGGACCCUGUAUAUACUGUGUUUUUUCUUUCCUUAUUGAGAACUUUUAUGUUUUCACUUAAAGGAAGGACUUUACAGCUUCUCUUUCGCAUAUCCAAAUUGCCAGCAUCACCGCUCUUGCACUCCAAGCCAUUAUUAAGUAAAGUAAAGAACACAAACACUGUGAUACUGCUACACUUGAUCUGAUAACCAAGAAGUCUACUAAGUGACUAACAGAGCAACUGGGAACCUAAUUCUGACCAAAAAGGAGGAAUUGUUUGGCUAAUUGGAAGUGACAGAAACCUUGGGAGAAAGCAACCGCAUACCAAGGAUAAUUAUAAGAAGGUAACAUGGGCCCUAAAGGAUAGUGUCAAGAAACCUGAAACCCCCAAAUGAGGUGAGACUUGCAAAAAAUGCUAAGGAAGGACAAAAAACAGGCCUUUUAAAAUUCUGUUCAGAACCAGAAGAUGAUCAAGAAAGGGAAAUGCCCACUAGCAGCUUCUACUGUAAGGUUAGAGCUGACAGAGAAAGAACUCCUUAACUACUAUUUGCUUCAUUCUCUACAAAGGAAACUAGAGAAGUGGGUUGAUGUAAUAGAAAGAACAUGUGUUUGUGGGGCCAGGCAAACCUGGGUUUAAUUCUGUUUCAACACUGCUUAACAAAAUUUAUGGGAGGCUAUUGUUUUGGAUUGGGCUCCUGCACCAGGCCCCUCCGGACCAAACCAAAAUGGAGUCACUC